Molecule: ribosomal RNA, 554 nt
Filed under: Penicillium sp.
Lineage: Eukaryota; Fungi; Ascomycota; Eurotiomycetes; Eurotiales; Aspergillaceae
Description: LSU rRNA
Rfam family: Eukaryotic large subunit ribosomal RNA
Source: RNAcentral
GGGAUUGCCUCAGUAACGGCGAGUGAAGCGGCAAGAGCUCAAAUUUGAAAGCUGGCCCCCUCGGGGUCCGCAUUGUAAUUUGCAGAGGAUGCUUCGGGAGCGGCCCCCAUCUAAGUGCCCUGGAACGGGCCGUCAUAGAGGGUGAGAAUCCCGUCUGGGAUGGGGUGUCCGCGCCCGUGUGAAGCUCCUUCGACGAGUCGAGUUGUUUGGGAAUGCAGCUCUAAAUGGGUGGUAAAUUUCAUCUAAAGCUAAAUACUGGCCGGAGACCGAUAGCGCACAAGUAGAGUGAUCGAAAGAUGAAAAGCACUUUGAAAAGAGAGUUAAACAGCACGUGAAAUUGUUGAAAGGGAAGCGCUUGCGACCAGACUCGCUCGCGGGGUUCAGCCGGCAUUCGUGCCGGUGUACUUCCCCGCGGGCGGGCCAGCGUCGGUUUGGGCGGCCGGUCAAAGGCCCUCGGAAUGUAACGCCCCCCGGGGCGUCUUAUAGCCGAGGGUGCCAUGCGGCCAGCCCGGACCGAGGAACGCGCUUCGGCUCGGACGCUGGCAUAAUGGUCG